UUUUGAAAGCUCAUUUGUGAUGCCAAAUAACUUCAACAUAAGCUUUAGAAUGAAAGCAAAUUUAAAGCUCUCCAUUUUUUCUAUCAAACCCGCUGCUUGAGAUGGUCCACGUCCAUAUUCAUCAACUGUACUAAGCACCUUUAACACAGAGGACCACAUUUGAUCCAAACGAAGUAAGGUAGUAUGAUGUGAACCCCAUCUAGUAUCUCCCGGUCUAGGAAGAGUAGAUGAUUGGUGCAAGCCCCUUCCAGUAGAUAUCUCACCACUCUCAAGUCUAUC
Molecule: long non-coding RNA, 279 nt
Filed under: Hordeum vulgare
Lineage: Eukaryota; Viridiplantae; Streptophyta; Magnoliopsida; Poales; Poaceae
Description: long non-coding RNA (HVUL_LNC010809)
Source: RNAcentral